RNAcentral lists this ribosomal RNA (200 nucleotides) under uncultured bacterium. RNAcentral describes it as "partial 16S ribosomal RNA". It matches the Rfam family "Bacterial small subunit ribosomal RNA", at positions 28 to 232 of the family's 1533-position model. The record is from RNAcentral.
GAUGAACGCUAGCUGGAGGCUUAAUACAUGCAAGUCGAGCGGGAUUGGGUAGCAAUACCCAUGAGAGCGGCGCACGGGUGAGUAACGCGUACACGACCUACCUCUAACAGGGGGAUAGCCCUGGGAAACUGGGAUUAAUACCGCAUAUAAUCUUGAUUUUAAAAGUCAAAAUGAAAGUUCAGGCGGUUAGAGAUGGGUGU